Molecule: ribosomal RNA, 214 nt
Filed under: uncultured bacterium
Lineage: Bacteria
Description: partial 16S ribosomal RNA
Rfam family: Bacterial small subunit ribosomal RNA
Source: RNAcentral
CCAGUUCGGAUUGCAGGCUGCAACCCGCCUGCAUGAAGUUGGAAUCGCUAGUAAUCGCGGAUCAGCAUGCCGCGGUGAAUACGUUCCCGGGCCUUGUACACACCGCCCGUCACACCAUGAGAGUCGGGAACACCCGAAGUCCGUAGCCUAACCGCGAAGGGGGGCGCGGCCGAAGGUGGGUUCGAUAAUUGGGGUGAAGUCGUAACAAGGUAGC